GACAGAGGAGCCAAGCGUUGUCCGGACUGACUGGGCGUAAAGCGCACGCAGGCGGCGCUGCGCGUGGGGUGUGAAAGCUCUUGGCUUAACUGAGAGAGGCCAUCCCAUACGGCAGUGCUCGAGCGGUGCAGAGGUCCGCGGAAUUGCCGGUGUAGUGGUGAAAUGCGUAGAGAUCGGCAGGAACACCCAGGGGGAAACCAGCGGACUGGGCAUCAGCUGACGCUCAGGUGCGACAGCGUGGGGAGCGAACAGG
This 253-nucleotide ribosomal RNA is filed under the name uncultured bacterium. RNAcentral's name for it is "partial 16S ribosomal RNA". It matches the Rfam family "Bacterial small subunit ribosomal RNA", at positions 524 to 776 of the family's 1533-position model. The record is from RNAcentral.